AUGUCUUGACCAAUUCAUGUGCCAGCAGUCGCGGUAACACAUGUAAGACUGGUGUUAUUCAUCUUUAAUAGGUUUAAAGGGUACCUAGACAGUUAAUUAAGCCUUAAGUAGGUACUAAUAUAACUAGAGUUUAAUGUAGGAAGAAGAGUACGGUGAGUGUAGAGAUAAAAUUCAUUGAUACCACUUAGAAACUGGCAAAUGCGAAGGCAAUCUUCUAUGUAAAAACUGACGUUGAGGGACGAAGGCUCGUUAAAAAGAACAGGAUUAGAUACCCUAGUAUUGUGGGCAGACAAUGAUGAAUGCCAUAUGCAAGAAAUUUUUUGUGUAUAAAUGAAAGUGUAAGCAUUCCACCUCAAGAGUAAUAUGGCAACAUAUAAACUGAAAUCAUUAGACCGUUUCUGAAACUCGUAGUGAAGUAUGUUGUUUAAUUUGAUGAUCCACAGAGAACCUUACCACAAUUUGAAUAUCUAUAUAUAGUAAGUUAUUUUUCUAAAAUAUAGUUACAAGCGUUGCACGGCUGUCUUCAGUUAAUGUCGUGAGACUUUGGUUAGAUCCAUUAAAUUAACGUAUAACCCUUACUUUAUUUAAUAUAAAA
RNAcentral lists this ribosomal RNA (595 nucleotides) under Fissurina sp. RL-2012e. Its description in RNAcentral is "SSU rRNA". It matches the Rfam family "Bacterial small subunit ribosomal RNA", at positions 488 to 1125 of the family's 1533-position model. The record is from RNAcentral. Lineage: Eukaryota; Fungi; Ascomycota; Lecanoromycetes; Ostropales; Graphidaceae.